UCGGCUGAAGGUAGGCAAAUUCGUUUUGACCAGCACAAAGUAGCUGCCUGGCUGACCGUGUGAGACUCUGCUGUCCAAGUUGCUGUGUGACCAGCAAUCGUUACAACAACAAUCAUCACAAGUUUAAAGGUCCUGAUUGGGCGAAGCAAGAGAGAAUGGGAGCUUCCUCCUCCACCUAUGUGUUUAAUGACUCAGGCUCUGAAAUCGAGAUCUUAUGCCCUGUAGGGAGGCUGAAGCUGCAGGGCAUUGAGCUGGGUGCCAAAACAGAGGCAGGGGCUUCUACAAAUGAAGGGAUCAGCGGAAAGAUUACUAACCACAGCAAGAUAAACUUCGCAAAGGACGACCGAGUUUGUUUGCUGAGAUUGCCAGAUAAUGAUUUUGGCAAAAUUAAGGGGGGUGGACAUCUAUUCAUGACUGUUAUCGGGAGUCCUGGUCCUACUGAGGAAACAUUGUGCAUUAACUACCCUGUUCCCAGAAAAAAGGCGCUCUCUGUGGUAAAGAGGACUGUCAAGUUGGAAACGUACAACAGAGAAACAAAGAAAAAAUGGCAAAAUAUCAUAAAGCAAAAAGCAGGAAAAAAUCAAUUAACGUCUUAACGUCUAGUGUGCAGCCUGCUCCACUACCGCUGAACUGAUUCUCAGAUGAGCGCGAGUCUGAUCUGGAUCUCGCUCCUUAUUUGCACGAAAGUCCAGAGAGGACACAAGCUUUUGCUAUAAUUUUCUGGAUUGUUAUCUUGAGAUCACAUAAUAAUUAACUCAUUAUCUCAAGACAACAACUUUGUUAUCUUAAGGUCACAAGAUAAUUGACUCAUUAUCUCAAGAUAACAAUCUAGAAAAUUAGAACUAUCUCAUGUGUUGAUGAUUUAAAAAUAUUCGAGCACAAUAAUAGAAAAACAAUGUGUGUUGUGGUUCUUCUCUAAUUUACUUCCUUAAAGCUAAGAAUGUGUAAAAUGUCCCCGUCUGUUGUUCAUGUGUGUAAAACUAAUGGUCAGUGAGGCUGAAUGAUUUCUGUAAUUUGUAGUUUAUGUUUGUUUCAUAUAAUCUUUGAGCUUCCUGGACUUAAACUCUGCAAGUCUUGGUUGGAAACAAAAGGGUUCAAGUCUUGAAAACUGUCCAAUCAGGAUGUUUUUCUCCAUGGUGUCUUAGUAGAUUCAGCCAGUCAAGCUCUCCCACUGGUUAGGACUGAAGGCCUGGGGUGUCAGAUCAAAGCUGCUUUCAAGUGGUCUCAGUUUAAUCAGGAAAACUGGUUUCCCACCAGGAAUGAUGAAUCUGGGGGUGCAGGAGUUUUUGAUCCAGCCUCAACUGGAGGCUCUAUUUUCAUCAUAGUGGAGGAAAGAAGUACAGUAAUCAAAUAACACUGUACAAAUAGAAUAAACAGCAAUGGUGAAGGAAAUUUUAAUCACGCACAAUUAACUCUGUAAUACAGAUCAACACUGAUAGACGCCAACUAGCUAUUAAACUAUAACCAUUUCAGGUUCUCCAUGUUUUGUUUAUCUAUUAAAUAAACCACAUGAAAGAGAACGUCUGAUGAACGAGUUCCUCUCUGGAGAAAAUACCACUGAAUUAGACCUGAAAGCAGUUCAACUGCUCAUAUAAUGAGGAGCUGACAGUGGAACCAACCAGUCAUUUUUAAUUUACAGUGAGUGGAAAGAAAAACAUCACUUCUGAAAGUUCUAGAUAGGCCUUCUGUUCUAGAUACUCCACUGUCUGUAAAUACGAGCCAUAGUCUAAGCAGGUUUCAGUUAGUUGUUAGGAAUGGAAACAACUUCACUGGAAAAGUGACUGUAAAACUGAUUCAUAUAAGCUCAGAUAUAUGUUAAUGUCUUACAAGCUUCAAAUAAAACAUGGAAUGUAUUUUA
Colossoma macropomum (tambaqui) is the source of this 1858-nucleotide long non-coding RNA. RefSeq lists it as uncharacterized. Lineage: Eukaryota; Metazoa; Chordata; Actinopteri; Characiformes; Serrasalmidae. The record is from RefSeq and is a predicted model, not a curated record. The transcript has 3 exons.